This 258-nucleotide long non-coding RNA is filed under the name Elaeis guineensis (African oil palm). RNAcentral's name for it is "long non-coding RNA (EGUI_LNC006240)". Lineage: Eukaryota; Viridiplantae; Streptophyta; Magnoliopsida; Arecales; Arecaceae. The record is from RNAcentral.
ACCAUUCACACCAUCAAUUUAUGCACACCAUCAAUUUAGGUCUAUAUUUGACAUUUUCAUGUAACAAAUUUUAUUUCUAACGUAAUGAUGAGCUCGCCAAAUGGUGAUUUUUGACUUAAAAUAGUUGAGGGAGGACAAGCAGAUAUUAGAAGGCAUAUUAAUUAGCCCAGGGGUACAUUCAAUCUAUGAUUUUGGGUUCUUAAUGAUACCUUUUAAUUGAAGCAUCUCUAGAAGCUAUGGCGGGCUCCACUUAUUGGG